RNAcentral lists this long non-coding RNA (2241 nucleotides) under Carica papaya (papaya). RNAcentral's name for it is "long non-coding RNA (CPAP_LNC014685)". The record is from RNAcentral. Lineage: Eukaryota; Viridiplantae; Streptophyta; Magnoliopsida; Brassicales; Caricaceae.
AGUAUGGUAAGGCACCCACAAAUAGCAUCCAGGAGUUUGAAAACCAUCACAUUCACUUAGUUUCGUAUACACCUACUGGGGAUGAUGUGAAUGUGAAACAGAAGAGUAAAACUAAAUCAUGGUGUUAGUGAGCUUUUCUAUACGAAUACGAACAGCCAUAGUAGAGUAAAACUCUAAGCUUAGGAACGAUGGGUAUGUUGGUGAUACCUAGAAAUUUUAUUAAAUAUUUAAGAUAAUAUACUCCAAAUAAUCAAAUAUUGAAUUUCAUAAAUUGGGAAACUUGGGAGAUUGGAUACUCCAAAUAAUCAACUAUUGAACUUCAUAAAUUGGAAAAUUUGGGAGACUGGAAAUGUACCACAGUGAUGAGAUUGCUUAGGUAAUUAAAAAUUGAUCCUUGUAGUGAGAAUAGGAAAUGAUGUUUUCAAAAAAUGUGGUAUAGUAAUAACAAUUGCUUACACUAUUAUUGUAAGACAUUAGACAUUAAUGAAUCUUGAAGAUCACUAUAGCCCAAGACAGUAUUCCUUUUGCUUGAUCAAAUCUUCUAAAGAAAUUACAAUGAGUCACCAAUAGCUAUAAGUGUUAAAAUAUUUAGAAUUGAGAAACCGAACCUUAGCAAUUAUACCCUAGUCAAGGAAGUUAGGAAAAAAAUUAUUACAAACUAAAUAAAUCUUUUCAGUAAUAAUAUUACAAUGAGACCAUCAGUUGAGGAGGAACAUGAGACAAAUAAGUAUGUUUUGAACCCCGUGCUCGCUAUAAAUUUAAAGAACUAAAUUUCUUUUAAGGGAGAAAAUUUGUAACACACAGCUAGCCCAAUCCAAAAGACCCAAUCCCAUAGGCCAACCCCACUAUUCUCUCCGAUAACACAGCAAAAAGGGGUGUGUUGUAAGGUCUUAAGUGGAUGGUGAGGAUUGGAAUGGUAGGAGGAUGAAGGGCUAAGAUUGGAUGGGAAGGGAGAUAUAUAAAUAGGGAUGGACAGAGAAAAAAAAACAAAAAAGGGGAGCAAAAAGAGAGGGGUCGGUCGACAGAGAAGGAGAGAGAGUGAAGAAAUUAAAGGAGAGAUUGAGAGCGGAAGUGGAAGAAACGUGUGACUGAAGAAGCUCUUACCGAGCUAGGAGAAGAUGGAGACUGGAGGUAAAUAAAUUCUGAAUUUUAGACUUUGUAUGGCGAUAUGGUGUGAAUUUACAUCUGGUUGAUUUAAUGGUUGAUUGCUGAUUCUGAAGGAGUAAAGAGGCAGAGAAUGGUGAAUAUAACAUGUAUAAGGGUAGAGGGACGAAAGGUGAGGUGGAUGGCAGGAAUGUGAAAACAUGGGUUAGGGGAUAGAGAUUGUUUAGUUGUGAAAGUGAAAGGAGGAGGUCAACCGCAGAGAAAAAGUGUGGUAAAUAGUGUGAUUAGGUUCUUUCGGUGAAGGAGGAGCUGAGGUAAAAUGUGUGUGAAGUAGAGGCGCUAAGUAGGAGAGUGAGUCUACAUGAAACCGGGAAUGAUGAUGUGCGUUGUUGUUUCGAAGUCUUGAGGUGCCGAAAUUGGUGUCGGUGAUUCAGAGUGUUGGUGCGCCGAUAUUGGCGACAGCGGAGGGAGAAAGUUUGAUGCAUCAAUACUGGUGCUAGUGAAAAUAUGCGUUUGUGGCUAACUGGGAGCCGAGGUGUGUGAGUGUGGACUAUAUCCUGUGAGUUCAGGAAAUGUGUAUGUGUUUGUAUAUGUGUAUAUUGCGGAUUUUUGUGUGUGGCCGACUGGGGGCCAAUGUGCUGGUGUAUGAAUUGUGUUUUAUGACAUUCUGGUUAUGUGACUGAAUGGGCAAGUGUGGUGUGUGUGGCUGGUUGAGGCCGGAUGUGUGUAUGUGGCAAAAAUUAAGGUCGGUGAGUGUGUGUGUGUGGGGCAAAAAUUAAGGCCGUUAAGUGUGUGUGUGUCGCUGAGUGAAGGUUGGUGUGUGUGGCUGGUUGAGGCUGGAAUAUGCAUAUGUGGUAAAAAUUAAGGCCAGUGAGUGUGUGUGGAUGAGUUAGAGUCACCGUGUGUAUGUGAGGCUAAAUUUAAGCCGGUGCGCGUGUGUGGAUAAAUUUGAGUCGAUGUGUGUGUGUGUGGUGGCUAAACUAGGGCCAAAGUAUGGAGGUAGGAGAAGCGGUUGAUAAUUGGUGGUGGUGCAGUUGUUGGAGGUAUGUGGGUGUGGGUGGCAUUGGGGUUGAAAACAUAUAGGACUAGUGUAGGUGUAUGUGUGGCCAAGCAAAGGAUGUUAUGUGUGGAAGGGAG